This 253-nucleotide ribosomal RNA is filed under the name uncultured bacterium. RNAcentral's name for it is "partial 16S ribosomal RNA". It matches the Rfam family "Bacterial small subunit ribosomal RNA", at positions 524 to 776 of the family's 1533-position model. The record is from RNAcentral.
UACGUAGGGUGCGAGCGUUAAUCGGAAUUACUGGGCGUAAAGCGUGCGCAGGCGGUUCGUUAAGUCAGAUGUGAAAGCCCCGGGCUCAACCUGGGAACUGCAUUUGAAACUGGCGGGCUUGAGUAUGGCAGAGGGGGGUGGAAUUCCGCGUGUAGCAGUGAAAUGCGCAGAUAUCGGGAGGAACACCUAUGGCGAAGGCAGCUCGCUGGGACGUUACUGACGCUGAGACGCGAAAGCGUGGGGAGCAAACAGG